CCAUGCAUGUCUAAGUACAAGCCGAUUUAAAGCGAAACCGCGAAUGGCUCAUUAAAUCAGCUAUGAUUCAUUGGAUCUGUACCCACACUUACUUGGAUAACUGUGGUAAUUCUAGAGCUAAUACAUGCACCACGUCUCUGACCGCAAGGGAAGAGCGCUUUUAUUAGUUCAAAACCGGUCGGGCCUCGGUCCGUCACCCCACCGUGUUGAAUCUGAAUAACUUGUCGCUGAGCGCACGGUCUCCGCACCGGCGCCGCCUCUUUCAAGUGUCUGCCUUAUCAGCUUUCGAUUGUAGGUUAUACGCCUACAAUGGCUAUAACGGGUAACGGGGAAUCAGGGUUCGAUUCCGGAGAGGGAGCCUGAGAAACGGCUACCACAUCUAAGGAAGGCAGCAGGCACGCAAAUUACCCACUCCCGGCACGGGGAGGUAGUGACGAAAAAUAACGAUGCGAGACUCAUCCGAGGCCUCGCAAUCGGAAUGAGUACACUUUAAAUCCUUUAACGAGGAUCUAUUGGAGGGCAAGUCUGGUGCCAGCAGCCGCGGUAAUUCCAGCUCCAAUAGCGUAUAUUAAAGUUGUGCGGGUAAAAAGCUCGUAGUUGGA
This 602-nucleotide ribosomal RNA is filed under the name Chionoecetes tanneri. RNAcentral's name for it is "SSU rRNA". It matches the Rfam family "Eukaryotic small subunit ribosomal RNA", at positions 49 to 638 of the family's 1831-position model. Lineage: Eukaryota; Metazoa; Arthropoda; Malacostraca; Decapoda; Majidae. The record is from RNAcentral.